AUGUGCUUCUCUGUAUUAAAUUUUUAUCAUCAAGCUGCCAAACUUGAAAGAUGCAGCAGCCAGGAGCUGAUUGUGCGGAGGCAUGGCUCCACAGUCAGGAUACUGUCAUUUGUAAGCUAACCGUGGCCCAUUAAGUGGUAUAGCACGUGGUCAGGUAAUGAUGUUGAGGUUGUCAAGUUUGUUUUAUAUUAGUGAAUAUGAUUAAUUCUAUAUAGAGCAUUCAUCAUUCCUACAAUGAGCAAAUGUAUUUAUUCUUUAUAUCAUCUAAGGACUCAGAUUUAGCCCAGGAUGAGAGGCCGUGCUGUUAAAAGUCAUUGUUGCACACAGUGCAAAGAACCUCUGCUCACCCUUGCAACAAGAGGAAGGACGGAAAAACAAAAUGCUAUUCAUCAGUUUGUACAGGGAAACACAGAUGCAGAGAACUUUUCUCCUUCUAAGAUCCUACAGUAAUAGGUUAAGACUGGUUAGAAGAAGAGAAAGACUGCUGUGUCUCGGCAAUCAAAGAGAACCAUACCUGAAGUGAGAAGCAGCAGAAUGUGAAGGCUGCCUCAACAAGCAACUGAAGAAAAAUUCUGCAAGGUUUUGAAGAUCCUUAUCUGACUUGGAAAGCCAAACUGAACUGGUGGCAAUCAGUCCUUGCCCUUGCAGCAGACAGAAUGGGAGUGGUGGUGGUUUUGAAUCACCGAUGGUACCUUGGAGCGAUGAGCACAGCACACACCGUGUUUGCUCCAUACCCUGUCAAACUGUUGCUGCUUUAUGCUGUACUCGGCAUCCUAACCAUUCAUUGCUUUGGCAGCACCAACGAGAGCCUGGCCGACAGAAGGCAGACCCGGUCUGUGAGCAGCCUGCUGCAGCCUCGCGACUGUGCACUCUCUGCCUGGUCCUCGUGGAGCAAGUGUGAUCCUUGCCAAAAGAAAAGGUACAGAUUUGCCCGCCUGGAACAACCAUCUCAAUUCAAUGGAGAACCGUGCGAUUACUCUGACAAAGAAACUGAAGACUGUGUUACAAAUAAUCCUUGCAGGAAUAAAGUUAGAUGUGAAGGUUUUGUGUGUGCAGUUACAGGGAGAUGCAUUACACGGAGGCUGUUCUGUAAUGGGGAUGAUGACUGUGGGGACCGAUCAGAUGAAAAAAACUGCAAAAAAGUGUUUAAAAAAUGUGACCAGAAGAUGGAGGAAUACUGGGGAAUAGAGAAUCUGGCAAAAGGGUUAAACAUCUUUACAAACAAUUUGGAAGGCUUAGUUCUUGAUCACAGGUACUAUGGUGGGGGAUGUUCUCCCCAUUAUAUCGGGGACACAAGAUUCAGAAAACCAUACAAUGUGGAAAGCUACACGCCAGAGACCAAAGGCAAAUAUGAAUUUACAAUGACUGAAUAUGACUCCUACUCAAAUUAUGAAAGCAGUGUCCUGAAGGCAAAAGCUUCGCAGUCUAGCUUCAGCUUUGGCAUAAAAAUACCGGGAGUGUUUGAACUUGGUUACAAUUCAAAUGACAACAGGUUCAAGAAGUUCAUUCAAAGGAUGAAAAGAUUUUCUUCAACUUCCAGCAAAUUCAUUCAUGCCCGUUCUGAGCUGGCCGUUGCUGUUUAUAAGCUGAAGCCCCGAGCCCUGAUGCUGCAUUAUGAGUUCCUCCAGAGACUCCAUCAACUCCCAUCAGAGUACAGCUACGGGGAGUACAGAGAGCUCUACAGAGACUAUGGGACCCAUUACGUCACGGAAGCUACUGUUGGUGGCAUCUAUGAGUAUACUUUAGUCCUGAACAGCAAUGAGCUCCAAAAGGCAGGUUAUUCUUUGAGCGAUGUCCAGAAAUGUGCACAGCAUGGUUUUAACAUCGAUGCAAGUAUUUCUGUGAGGCUUGGAAUAACUGAAGCUGGCUGUAAAUCCCUUUUGAAAGAGAUUGGAGACAGCACCUCUGAAAAACAGUUUGUGGAAGAUUUCAUCGUCCUUGUUCGUGGUGGAGCAAGUGAACACAUUACCACAUUGGCUUACAAAGACCUGCCAACGGCUGCACUCAUGCAGGAGUGGGGAGAUGCUGUGCAGUACAACCCUGAAAUCAUAAAGCUAAAGGCAGAGCCUCUGUAUCUGCUGGUGGGUCCAACAGAUUUUGCUAAUGCAAUGGCAAUAAAAGAAAAUCUGCGACGGGCUCUUGAUGAGUUUCUGCUGGAGACCAGUUCUUGUCGCUGUGCUCCGUGCCACAACAAUGGGAUCCCCUUUCUGCAAGGAACCAAGUGUGAAUGCCUUUGUCCCCUUGGCUACAGUGGCACUGCCUGUGAGAUCAGCAAGAGGAAAGAUGCUGCUAUUAAUGGAAACUGGGGAUGCUGGGCCAGCUGGUCUCCAUGUUCAGGAGGUCAACAAACAAGGAGAAGACAGUGCAACAACCCUGCACCGCAAAAUAGUGGUUCAUCGUGCUCAGGGCCAGAUGCUGAGACAGUUACUUGCUAGAGGGAAUCAUUAGGAACUUACACAAAACUUAUGAGCAGUUUGCAAACUAAGUGGGAAGUUUUUACCUGACCGGCUUGAUAAGUUGGCCAAAGUCUUCUUAUGAGUCUCAUCCAAGUUGGAAAUAUUUCAGAAGGCAAUGGGAGCUGAGUGUGCACUAUGAAUCGCACCUUUGGGUGUGCUUUGCAGUUGUCCCGUGGGUUUGAAUGUGCUUACUAUUCUUAAUAUUUUUACUUUUCUCUGUCUUUAUUGCAAUGGGCUAAUUGAAACAAGCUUCCAGUGUUAUUUAGUAGCUGUAUGAUUUUAAAUUUUACUGUCUCAUUUUUGAAGGUUCCUUUCAGAUAAGAAAAGACCGUUUGAUCUUAUGUGCACCAGAAUGUGUUGCUAAUAUGCAGCUUCUGUGAAGACAGCUGUGUUUCAUUGUGAAAAAGAAGCCCACUUCAGUAAACGUGGAGUAGCUGUAUUGUCUCCACUCCUUGCUUGAAGACUUUACUACUGCAGUGUGUGCUGAAUCUGGUCAGCAUGGCUUAGGAAGCUCCCAAAAGAGGAUUUUAGGUAAGUUGUAGUUGUCAUAUCCAACUUUCCCAGGACAAAACCAACUUGACUCCUGCAGCUCCUAACAUCUCCAUCAGGAAUGGGUAAAUCAGAUUGGUUUCCAGCCUGGAUUCACUUGUUCCCUGUCUUUUCCUGUCUUGUAGACACCUUACAUUUAUCUGUGAGGCUGGAACAUGGUCUAGGCUGUGGCUGGGGUCUUGCAAACCCUGUUGUAUCUGUAGUAUUGCUCAAUGACUUUACCAUGCUCUUGUUUCUCCUGUUAUUAGAUGUAUAUAAUUGUUCCUCCUCAGGUUCUCUCCCAGAGAGAGAUUUUGUUGAAAGGAACCCAGUAAGUCAAUAUGGAGGUGUUAACAGUCCCCAGAUUUCCAACUCCUAGUGCUUGUAACUUGAUAGCUGAAGAGCCCAGGGAGCACCCAAGACAACUGCCAGAUUUCAGGUCAAAUUAUGCCUGCAAAUUUGUCUUGCUUUUAUAUCUUGUUUUAACACCCCUCUGCUUCUGUAAAUCAACAAAACUAGGGAGAAAGACAGUAAUUAUUACUGUUAUGAACACAUAGUUUUUAUUUAUUUGUAAUGCAGCACUAAGAGUUCCACCGUGUUGCACAUGACAGAGCAGCACAACAAGUGCCGGUCCCUCCCCAAACUCUCCAGAAUCUGGCCUUUCUUUUGUUUGAGGUUUUUUGGGGUAGAAUUAACUGGUUUGUCUCUUUUGGUGCCUCUGCCUUACACUAUAUAAAAAGGAAGGCAAUAAUUUUUGAGCUGGUCCUGCUGGGGAAUUGUUGCCUGCUCUAAAAUUGCAGGCUCAGAGGGAGGAAGGUGUGUGGAUAGUCAGCGUGACAUUGACCCUGAGGUAGAAAACAGCACUGUCUCAAGCACUGCCCUUAUCUACUCUUCUGUUAGCUGGUUAUCUGGAGUCUGCACCUUGCAACCUCAGGUGUAUUGUCAUCAAUCAUUUGCUAUUUUCUUUUGCGUACUGGUUCCUCUCUGCCCUUCCUUUGUUAAUAACCCAGUUUGCCUAUAUCCAUAAAAAUAUCUGAUUGUGAUACCAUUUAUCCAAAGCACCAUACAUCCAUCAUGUACUUAUGAGCGAGAUAAACAAGGUCUCCCGGGAAAUAUGCUGCAAGAAAUAUAUAGGAUAAAUAACUAUAUCAAAUGUAUGUCAGUGUGCAAGAAGAGAAAAUCCAUUCAUUAAAAGCAGGGUGGAACUGCAGUGUUUUACUGUACCCUCUAAGCUUUUAAUUUAAGUAAGAAACAUUCAUUUUCGCAGCUUAUCUCAUUUAGCACAACUCUCAUGCUGGACACUUCAGCAUGAGAUAUAUUAGCUUCUUUGACUGGCAUUGUAAAUGUGUAAUUGCUCAUAAUUUUUUUUCCAGCUUCUUCUUUUCUUUUGACUUCAGCUUCACUGCUCCUACGUUUCAGCUGUGCAGGUGUCUGAGCCCUGGAUGCACAGGGGACUGCAAUGGGAGGAGAGGGGCUGCUACCAGGCUGCUUUUGGUAUUCGAAGGAAAUACUUGGGUUUGUAUUUCAUUGCCUUGGGUUGCGAGGUCAGUGGUGAACUCUGCCCAGCACGUGUCCUCACUUUCAUCUCUAUAUUUCAACACCACGGUAUUCAAAGUGGAGAAUGAAAAACUGCGGGUAAAUCCCAGAUUUUGCACUUCUUUAUGUGGGCUUCUUGGUUGUAUUUCACAUGUGGUUUUUUUAAUCACUUAGAUUUUUUUUUUUUCCUCUGGUUCUCCAGCCUGUGAUCACCCUUCUAGAAACAUCUCGGAAAGCUGAGGAUGGAAAUUGCCUUCCUGCAGGCCUCAUCCCUCCCCAGCCUCCAAGGCAUCCAAUCUUUCUCUUCAUUAAUUUCUUCCCUCUGGUCACAAAAGAAGUGUACUUGGCUUUCUAACUAAGGUGACUUUAUAUUCAUUUACUUUCAGGCAUUUUUCUGAGUUCUAAACAGUUGAUGUAAAGGUAAGAAUCACCUAGGAGCAAAACAAUCUUUGGUGUGAGAGUACUGUCUCAUGUUUCUACGUAUCCUGCCAGCUCAAUGCCAAACAGUAUUGAUAAAACCAUUGAUGAGAAAACUUGUUUGGAUCCUACAUUUCACGUUCCUCUGAGGCUUCUUAAUCAUGGUGAUACCUGUGAUCAGCAUUUUCCCAAUACAUAAGACAUUAGAUUCAAGCCUUCGGGAGGAAACCUGUGUCUGGAUGAAUAUCACCUUUACCUGGAAGAGCAAAGUUGACAAAACGGCCACAACUUUACCACUCAUUAUAGUGAUUUUUCACAGAAGAGUUACAUCUCGGUGUUAAAGACAACAUGGUUUAUUGUUUUGGUAUACAAGCCCAGUGUAUAGUUUCAUUUUCAAGCAGAAGAGAAGUGGUGAAAAAAUUGUCCUUUGGCAAACAUGCACAUCAAAUAAAAUACGGGGCCAGAUCUUCAGGUAGCAUAAAUCAGCUGCGGUGAAGGAGAGACACUGAUUUACAUCAGCUAAGAGUCAGACUCUAAAUCACCACUGAUGUGCUUGAAAAUCAAGCCUUUCCAAGAAUCAGAGCUAUAGAUGGGCAAUUUCUUUCACUGAACCAUGAUUCCUUUCUGUUCUCUCUUUCCAUUCAAAUGUAUAUAGAAGUGCUCCUUUGUGCUUUGAGGUUUUGUUGCUGUUGUUGGUUGUCAUAAUGCCUGAUUCCUUCUCAUGGCUUUUUUUUUGUCUUCUUUCCUUGUAAUGAAAAGCACAAUUAAAUGAAGUGCCAUUGGACUCCCAUCCACCCCAGGUUUUUGUGGCAGUUCAUUAAGAAGAGGGAGCUGCAGGCUCUCACCGCAGUCUCUGGAUGCAGUUCAAUACUGUGUGUAUUCUUGUGCCGAGAUUUACGUCUUACAUUCAAAAAAGCCCCUUAAAUCAAGCAGCCUGUUAGCAUCUUCUCCAACUCUGGGUGCCUGGGAGAUAAAAUGCCUGUGUGCUAAUAGUCAAUUCAUCACUGAUCUUAAAGAAGAGUAGCCUUUGCUUGUGUGUGAACAUCCUCUGCCGAAUGGUCUUGUUCAAGCCUCUUUAUUUAUUGCUUUAUUUAUUUAUUUCAGAUUCUUCGUCAGUUUGGGUUCACAUUAUACAAUGAUGCUUUGGCGUCUUUAGGCUUAAGCUGCUUCCCAUACAGAGCAGCAUAUGGCUUUGCUGCAAAUGCAGCCAUGGCCAAUAUGCUGGACUUAAAAAUCUGACAGCGCUAACUUAUAAAAAUUUCAUG
Molecule: RNA transcript, 6202 nt
Organism: Cuculus canorus (common cuckoo)
Lineage: Eukaryota; Metazoa; Chordata; Aves; Cuculiformes; Cuculidae
Gene: C8B
Gene name: complement C8 beta chain
Exons: 14
Source: RefSeq, a predicted model, not a curated record